UAUUACGUAGCGAAACAUAAUAAAUCAUAUAGUCUUAUACAUAAAUGAUAGCAAGAUGUAAAUAACGCUCUCGACGGAAGCUCCACACAGGGACACUGUUGACUGGUUGACUCCAAACCUAGUACUCAUAACAGUAGUCCUCAUUCCAGUCAUCUUCAUUAUCAUAUCCUGAGGUGUUGGGAAAUUGCAAGAGUGAACACAUAUCGUACUCAACAAGUAUAACCAGGGGUUCAUGAGGCUCAAAUAACUGACACAGGUUUGACUGCAUUUAGCUUUUAAUAGUAGAUAGCAUGUUUAAUCAUUGGAUAGCAAAUAUCAAGGUAGCAUAAAUAAUCCCAUAACCACAUUAUCAAUGUAUACAAGAAUUAAGAAUAACACAUAUAAACAAUAUAAUAAACCAUCAUUAAUCAUUAUUAAUCAUGUUCAUCAGUGUCCAUCUAUUCCGUCAGUUUUCCAGGCCGCCCGUAUCCGUGGGCACGGCUAGUAUACCAGAUUUAACACUCUGCAGAGGUUGUACAUCUUUACCCAUGAGUCAUGAUUUACCCUUUCGCCCGAGGUAGCUAGUCUCUUAACCCCCUUCCAAGGGAGGUCGGCAGGGAUCGCUAUGAAGCCUUUCAAAAGUUCGUCUAACAUGUUAGGGCCGCAAGGUUUCCUUUGCGCGCAGAUAUAGAGCCCCCCUUCCGAUGGCACAAUGACUCGCAGCCUAUACACAUACAGAUAGAGGCCACACUAUACCCAAAACGGUUCAGCCCCUCCGCCCUUUCGGGUAACCUCUAACAAGCUAGAAAAGUUCUUCAUACUGAGCUAAAGCCAGAGCCAUAUAGCCCUCAUGGUUGUACGAGUUGUCCCUGCUUUUGCCAAGGGAUAAGUCCUUAUGGAGGGUCAAGAUCAAUCUAGCAAAAGCCAGAGUUCUUUCCACCCUUUAUAUUCAAGUUGCUAGAAAGCUUAUUUUAUUGUUUAUUGUAUAUUCAAAUAUUCAUGUUACAAGAUCAUGGAUUAAUAAUCAAGCACUAGCAAGAACUACCCAAAUGCAAAUCCAAAUAGGUAACAAGGAAUUCAGGAUAACAAUCAUCUAUGAUUUUGCUAAGGUCAUCAAGGUGGACACAUGCAUAUGAUAAAUGUUAUAUUAAUUGUGUAUAGGUAACAAGGAUAGUCCCAAGUUAUACUUGCCUUGCUCAAAGCUCUCCUGAGCCUGCUGGUCCUCAAAGGCUUGGUCUUGAUCACUAACGUACGGCUCACCGUCUAUUCCCAAACAUCAAUCAACAACACGCAAUCCAAUAGAGACAAUCAUACACAAAGCAAACAAGAUAUAAUUAGAACAUUACACCAACAGUGAUAAAUCAAAGAUAAAAGUUUAUGAAAAUAUUCUACGCAGCGCUACGAUCACACAAACGUAAAGUUCACGAAAAUCGGAAUUAAAACGUGGAAGAUAUGAAUUUUCUAAGAUUUCUUAUAGAGAAAUAAUUAAUUUAAAUGCUACUGCAGAAUUAAAAAGUUUCAAAACAGAGAAUAAAUAGUUCUAACACGUAGAGCUUGUAAAUACGAAUCUAACGAAAUUUGAAUGGACAAAAACGGAGUUAAAACGAAGAAAAUAUGGCGUAAACAAACUAGUGUAUUUUCUUUGUAUUACUAGAUUUAUUUUCCUAAAGGAAAACGGCAAUAAUGCUGGGUUGACGUCAUGGUGAUGUCAUCGUGAUCUCAUCAUGCUAAUUAGCCAUCGCAGCAGAGCAGACAUGAAGAUUACGCAAGACUUAUCAAUUGCAGAUGAUGAGGUCGAGAGUGCCUGCUGCAGCCCACACAGUAAGAGCAGAAAGGCGGACUCCCCUAGCUCUUAUUAGGAUCAAAACAGAGACAAUGGAGAACUCAUCGCAAGCGAUUUCGUGAUGAAAAAAAAUACAAGGCGAGGAUGUCGGAUGGCUCGGAGAGGCAGGGACGGGUUCCUCAGAACGAAGCUUAGCGUCCUGCUUGGUUCAUCGGAGAAGCGGCUCCGAAGGACCAUCUUGGCUCCUCGACGGGAUACUCGGCGGUGACUCAGAGACGAUGAGGAAGCCACGAACGGCGGUCACCACGGCGGCGAGCUGAGCUAGGGCUUCGGAACGGCGCUGCAAGGUCGAGAAGAGUCGGCGGCUUGCCUAGGGUUAUAAUAGACGAUGCGCACACAUGGCUUGGGUUUUACGCAAUAUCCUGUAUGAUUUGGAAUUUGCAUCGACUUCCGUCGGCUUGGAGUCUGAGCAGAGCACGGCAGGAGAUAGAGGAAGGUGGCUGACAU
RNAcentral lists this long non-coding RNA (2269 nucleotides) under Sorghum bicolor (sorghum). RNAcentral describes it as "long non-coding RNA (SBIC_LNC004338)". The record is from RNAcentral. Lineage: Eukaryota; Viridiplantae; Streptophyta; Magnoliopsida; Poales; Poaceae.